This 638-nucleotide ribosomal RNA is filed under the name uncultured Nitrososphaerota archaeon. Its description in RNAcentral is "bacterial SSU rRNA". It matches the Rfam family "Archaeal small subunit ribosomal RNA", at positions 110 to 751 of the family's 1478-position model. The record is from RNAcentral. Lineage: Archaea; Thermoproteati; Nitrososphaerota.
UGCCCAGGGGACGUGGAUAACCUCGGGAAACUGAGGAUAAACCGCGAUAGGUCAUCACUUCUGGAAUGGGUAAUGACUUAAACCUAUAUGGCCCCUGGAUUGGACUGCGGCCGAUCAGGCUGUUGGUGAGGUAAUGGCCCACCAAACCUGUAACCGGUACGGGCUCUGAGAGGAGGAGCCCGGAGAUGGGCACUGAGACAAGGGCCCAGGCCCUAUGGGGCGCAGCAGGCGCGAAACCUCUGCAAUAGGCGAAAGCUUGACAGGGUUACUCUGAGUGAUUUCCGUUAAGGAGAUCUUUUGGCACCUCUAAAAAUGGUGCAGAAUAAGGGGUGGGCAAGUCUGGUGUCAGCCGCCGCGGUAAUACCAGCACCCCGAGUGGUCGGGACGUUUAUUGGGCCUAAAGCAUCCGUAGCCGGUUCUACAAGUCUUCCGUUAAAUCCACCUGCUUAACAGAUGGGCUGCGGAAGAUACUAUAGAGCUAGGAGGCGGGAGAGGCAAGCGGUACUCGAUGGGUAGGGGUAAAAUCCGUUGAUCCAUUGAAGACCACCAGUGGCGAAGGCGGCUUGCCAGAACGCGCUCGACGGUGAGGGAUGAAAGCUGGGGGAGCAAACCGGAUUAGAUACCCGGGUAGUCCCAGC